RNAcentral lists this long non-coding RNA (1989 nucleotides) under Gallus gallus (chicken). The record is from RNAcentral. Lineage: Eukaryota; Metazoa; Chordata; Aves; Galliformes; Phasianidae.
ACAAAAAUAAAAUAGAAAAUAAAUAAAUAAAACAAAAAUCACCCCAGAAUCCAUCUUUUUCCACACUGAUACAAUUUAUUACAAAACCUCCAUGAAAAUUAGUGUUAUGGUAUAUAAAAGGUUCAUUACAUGCCACCACUCAGCUGGGAGCUAAGAACGCCGUGAUAGGAAUACCUGCAAGCAAUACUGAGACCUGAAGACAACUCUCCAGAGGCAUCCACAGAAGUUUCUGGCAUGCAUAGUGUUCAUGGUAUUUUAAGGCACAGCGAUUUAGAAUUGUCAGUGGUUUGGAUAUUUUAUCAUACAUCACACAAAUACAAAUCACCAGAGAUGAAGCUUGAAAAAGAACUGAAGCACAGAAAGUUAUGAAGAACUGAUGUGAUAUAGAAUGGCUUAAAAUAGCAAUAGAAGGUUACAAUACUGUGCAAACACACAUUUACUGCCAACAAGCCACGGAGGCUUUUACUACUAAUCACAGAACAGUUCAGAACAAUCUAGCAGAUACAUAAUUAACUCCUUGCCCCAGCACAAGGCCUGGUCCAAACAGCAUGCUUAUCCAUUUCUGUACCAAAAGGCAUAGGAAGGAGAAUAAAAACACAUUUCUAAGCAUGAAGACAGCAUUACCAAAAGAAUCGAAAAAGAUACAGGAUAACUUGAUUAACAUCGAAUAUAUAAAACAAGCAGUUUUACAACACAAUCUUCAGACUCUGUUUUUGUUUUAAUGCAGGUCUUGAUCUGCAGAAUCCGGCCUUUGCAUGUGAACGUUACCACUUGGUCAAAGAAAAGAGAGCACCCGUCCACUUAGAGAACUGUACGCUGCUGAUGCAUCCAGCUAUUAAGUAUCUUAGUCAUCUCCAGGCUUCAUCCUCAUCUGGGCUUGCAUCUGUGCAAUCAUCUCCUGCAUGCGGCGCAGCUCAGCCUCCUUCUGCUGAAGGAUUCUAUCCUUGUCUACAACUUCCUCUUCAACAGGUUUGCCAGUUCUCUUCAGCCUCUCUGAACGGAAGUUCUCAUAGUGCAAAUCUUGGGUCACCUCCUGCAGGUCCUGCAUGUGAGUUACCAACAUUGUGCGCAAUUUAAGGAAAUCAUUGUGCUCUGGGUUCUCAACUUCAACAACUCCCCAGGGAUACAGGCGGCCUCUGAUUUUCUUCCCUUUCACCUCAAUAAGUUGAUUGGAUCCAAUAACAGCAAAGGGAAUGCUAGCCUUUAAGACUCUGGUUUGUUCUUUAAAUUCCUCAUCUUCAUCAGAAUCUGCAUCAGGAAGCUGGUAAAUCCUAAUGCCAUGUUCAGAAAUCUCAUCUAACACUCUUCUCUUCAGCCUCUCUCUCUCCUUCAGCGUCAGCGUGUCAGCCUUGGCGAUCACAGGGACAAUGUUGACUUUUCCAUGAAGAGCCUUCAUGAAUUCUACAUCUAAUGGUUUCAGCCCGUGCCCAAAGGGAGAGAUGAAGUAAAAACAGCAAUGGACUCUAUUGUCUAUAAUGUGGCGCCUGUUCAGCCCGCUCUCAUCAUGAAGGUAUCUUUCAAACUGGUUGUCAAUGUACUGGAUAAUCGUUUUGAAGCAGUCCUGGCUGUUAAUGGCAUCUCCAUAUCCUGGUGUGUCCACUACCGUUAAGCGCAGUUUCACCCCCCGCUCCUCUAUCUCUACUGUAGAAGCUUCAAUUUGAACCGUUCUCUCUAUUUUCUCUGCAGCUCCAGGAAUAUAACGCUCUGGAUAAAGAUCAGUCAGAAACAGACUGUUAAUUAAAGUAGAUUUUCCCAAGCCAGAUUCACCAACCACCAUCAGUGUGAAUUCAAAGCCCUUCUUCACAGAUUUCCGGUGGACCUGGUUCGGCAGAUUAGCAAAUCCCACAUAGCCUGCUGAGUCAGAAAACUUCACUUUUUCACCCGACUGAGACAUGUUUCGUCACUCCAAGUGUCAGACACUCAGCCUGCGGCUGCCGAAGCCCCGCUGACAGGCCUCGCUCUGCCGCCUCCACCCGCGCGGGCCUCCCG